Molecule: transfer RNA, 76 nt
Filed under: Granulosicoccus antarcticus IMCC3135
Lineage: Bacteria; Pseudomonadati; Pseudomonadota; Gammaproteobacteria; Chromatiales; Granulosicoccaceae
Also listed under: 3 other names
Description: tRNA-Lys
Rfam family: tRNA
About the family: Transfer RNA (tRNA) molecules are approximately 80 nucleotides in length. Their secondary structure includes four short double-helical elements and three loops (D, anti-codon, and T loops). Further hydrogen bonds mediate the characteristic L-shaped molecular structure. tRNAs have two regions of fundamental functional importance: the anti-codon, which is responsible for specific mRNA codon recognition, and the 3' end, to which the tRNAs corresponding amino acid is attached (by aminoacyl-tRNA synthetases). tRNAs cope with the degeneracy of the genetic code in two manners: having more than one tRNA (with a specific anti-codon) for a particular amino acid; and 'wobble' base-pairing, i.e. permitting non-standard base-pairing at the 3rd anti-codon position.
Source: RNAcentral
GGGGCGUUAGCUCAGUUGGUAGAGCAUCUGACUUUUAAUCAGGUGGUCGCUGGUUCGAACCCAGCACGCCCCACCA